RNAcentral lists this ribosomal RNA (775 nucleotides) under uncultured bacterium. RNAcentral describes it as "bacterial SSU rRNA". It matches the Rfam family "Bacterial small subunit ribosomal RNA", at positions 30 to 802 of the family's 1533-position model. The record is from RNAcentral.
UGAACGCUGGCGGCAGGCCUAACACAUGCAAGUCGAACGGUAACAUUUCUAGCUUGCUAGAAGAUGACGAGUGGCGGACGGGUGAGUAAUGCUUGGGAACUUGCCUUUGCGAGGGGGAUAACAGUUGGAAACGACUGCUAAUACCGCAUAAUGUCUACGGACCAUACGGGGCUUCGGCUCCGGCGCAAAGAGAGGCCCAAGUGAGAUUAGCUAGUUGGUAAGGUAACGGCUUACCAAGGCGACGAUCUCUAGCUGUUCUGAGAGGAAGAUCAGCCACACUGGGACUGAGACACGGCCCAGACUCCUACGGGAGGCAGCAGUGGGGAAUAUUGCACAAUGGGGGAAACCCUGAUGCAGCCAUGCCGCGUGUGUGAAGAAGGCCUUCGGGUUGUAAAGCACUUUCAGUUGUGAGGAAAAGUUAGUAGUUAAUACCUGCUAGCCGUGACGUUAACAACAGAAGAAGCACCGGCUAACUCCGUGCCAGCAGCCGCGGUAAUACGGAGGGUGCGAGCGUUAAUCGGAAUUACUGGGCGUAAAGCGCACGCAGGCGGUUUGUUAAGCUAGAUGUGAAAGCCCCGGGCUCAACCUGGGAUGGUCAUUUAGAACUGGCAGACUAGAGUCUUGGAGAGGGGAGUGGAAUUCCAGGUGUAGCGGUGAAAUGCGUAGAUAUCUGGAGGAACAUCAGUGGCGAAGGCGACUCCCUGGCCAAAGACUGACGCUCAUGUGCGAAAGUGUGGGUAGCGAACAGGAUUAGAUACCCUGGUAGUCCACUCCG